RNAcentral lists this unclassified non-coding RNA (240 nucleotides) under soil metagenome. RNAcentral's name for it is "partial contains 5.8S ribosomal RNA, internal transcribed spacer 2, and large subunit ribosomal RNA". The record is from RNAcentral.
AACGCACGAGACCUGCGGACCUGCGGAGGGAUCAUUAAUGAGAAACUGCCCCUCGCGGGUAGAUCUCCCACCCUUUGUAAACUUACCUUUGUUGCUUUGGCAGGCCCGUCUCCGGACCGCCGGCUUCGGCUGGCCAGUGCCUGCCAGAGGAUUCUAAAACUCUGUCUGUCAGUGUUGUCUGAGUCUAUUUACAAUCGUUAAAACUUUCAGCAAUGGAUCUCUAGAUCGGAAGAGCACACG